Molecule: small RNA, 874 nt
Filed under: Histoplasma ohiense
Lineage: Eukaryota; Fungi; Ascomycota; Eurotiomycetes; Onygenales; Ajellomycetaceae
Description: hypothetical lncRNA
Source: RNAcentral
UGGUAGGUUGGUUGGCAGCAAUAGAUUAGCAGCGAUAGAUUAGCAGCGAUAGAUUAGCAGCGAUAGAUUAGCAGCGAUAGAUUAGCAGCGAUAGAUUAGCAGCAAUAGAUUAGCAGCGAUAGAUUAGCAGCGAUAGAUUAGCAGCAAUAGAUAGAUUGACAGUGGUAGAUAAAUUGGCAGCGAUGGAUAGGUUGGCAGCGAUAGAUUAGCAGCGAUAGAUUAGCAGCGAUAGAUUAGCAGCGAUAGAUAGAUUGGCAGUGAUAGAUAGGUUGGCAGCGAUAGAUUGGCAGCAAUAGAUAGGUUGGCAGUGGUAGGUUGGUUGGCAGCAAUAGAUUAGCAGCGAUAGAUUAGCAGCGAUAGAUUAUCAGCGAUAGAUUAGCAGCGAUAGAUUAGCAGCGAUAGAUUAGCAGCAAUAGAUUAGCAGCGAUAGAUUAGCAGCGAUAGAUUAGCAGCGAUAGAUUAGCAGCGAUAGAUUAGCAGCGAUAGAUUAGCAGCGAUAGAUUAGCAGCAAUAGAUUAGCAGCGAUAGAUUAGCAGCAAUAGAUAGAUUGACAGUGGUAGAUAAAUUGGCAGCGAUGGAUAGAUUCGCCGCGGUAGAUAGGUUGGCAGCGAUAGAUUAGCAGCGAUAGAUAGAUUGGCAGUGGUAGAUAAAUUGGCAGCGAUAGAUAGGUUGGCAGCGAUAGAUUAGCAGCGAUAGAUUAGCAGCGAUAGAUUAGCAGCGAUAGAUAGAUUGGCAGUGAUAGAUAGGUUGGCAGCGAUAGCUUAGCAGCGAGGGAUAGCUUGCAGCAAUAGAUAGGUUGGCAGCGGCGAUAGCUUAGCAGCGAGGGAUAGCUUAGCAGCGAGGGAUAGCUUAGCAGCGAGGGAUAGCUUAGCAG